AGGGAUCAUUACCGAGUUUACAACUCCCAAACCCCUGUGAACAUACCACUUGUUGCCUCGGCGGAUCAGCCCGCUCCCGGUAAAACGGGACGGCCCGCCAGAGGACCCCUAAACUCUGUUUCUAUAUGUAACUUCUGAGUAAAACCAUAAAUAAAUCAAAACUUUCAACAACGGAUCUCUUGGUUCUGGCAUCGAUGAAGAACGCAGCAAAAUGCGAUAAGUAAUGUGAAUUGCAGAAUUCAGUGAAUCAUCGAAUCUUUGAACGCACAUUGCGCCCGCCAGUAUUCUGGCGGGCAUGCCUGUUCGAGCGUCAUUUCAACCCUCAAGCACAGCUUGGUGUUGGGACUCGCGUUAAUUCGCGUUCCUCAAAUUGAUUGGCGGUCACGUCGAGCUUCCAUAGCGUAGUAGUAAAACCCUCGUUACUGGUAAUCGUCGCGGCCACGCCGUUAAACCCCAACUUCUGAAUGUUGACCUCGGAUCAGGUAGGAAUACCCGCUGAACUUAAGCAUAUCAAA
RNAcentral lists this ribosomal RNA (515 nucleotides) under Fusarium sp. bc_besc_42d. Its description in RNAcentral is "eukaryotic LSU rRNA". The stretch from base 160 to 313 matches the Rfam family "5.8S ribosomal RNA". The record is from RNAcentral. Lineage: Eukaryota; Fungi; Ascomycota; Sordariomycetes; Hypocreales; Nectriaceae.